Molecule: ribosomal RNA, 404 nt
Filed under: uncultured Wolinella sp.
Lineage: Bacteria; Pseudomonadati; Campylobacterota; Epsilonproteobacteria; Campylobacterales; Helicobacteraceae
Description: bacterial SSU rRNA
Rfam family: Bacterial small subunit ribosomal RNA
Source: RNAcentral
AAAGCCUGACGCAGCGACGCCGCGUGAGGGAUGAAGGUUUUCGGAUCGUAAACCUCUGUCAGAAGGGAAGAAACCGCACCGUGCUAAUCAGCGGUGCCUUGACGGUACCUUCAAAGGAAGCACCGGCUAACUCCGUGCCAGCAGCCGCGGUAAUACGGAGGGUGCAAGCGUUACUCGGAAUCACUGGGCGUAAAGAGCACGUAGGCGGUCUUGCAAGUCAGAUGUGAAAUCCAACGGCUUAACCGUUGAACUGCAUUUGAAACUGCAAGGCUAGAGUAUGGGAGAGGUAGGUGGAAUUCUCGGUGUAGGGGUAAAAUCCGUAGAGAUCGAGAGGAAUACUCAUUGCGAAGGCGACCUGCUGGAACAUUACUGACGCUGAGGUGCGAAAGCGUGGGGAGCAAACA